CCCAGAGGUAUUGAUAGGUGAACGCGGCCCCCAGGGUUGCACACUCGAAUUACACCAACCUGCGCAGAUGCGCAGGUUUUUUUU
Molecule: small RNA, 84 nt
Filed under: Kosakonia sp. AG348
Lineage: Bacteria; Pseudomonadati; Pseudomonadota; Gammaproteobacteria; Enterobacterales; Enterobacteriaceae
Description: OmrA-B family
Rfam family: OmrA-B family
Source: RNAcentral